Molecule: ribosomal RNA, 692 nt
Filed under: Chryseobacterium sp. T107.09.B.BNT.SR.H.Fin.D.M
Lineage: Bacteria; Pseudomonadati; Bacteroidota; Flavobacteriia; Flavobacteriales; Weeksellaceae
Description: bacterial SSU rRNA
Rfam family: Bacterial small subunit ribosomal RNA
Source: RNAcentral
AGCCGAGCGGUAGAGAUUCUUCGGAAUCUUGAGAGCGGCGCACGGGUGCGGAACACGUGUGCAACCUACCUUUAUCAGGGGGAUAGCCUUUCGAAAGGAAGAUUAAUACCCCAUAAUAUAUUGAAUGGCAUCAUUCGAUAUUGAAAACUCCGGUGGAUAGAGAUGGGCACGCGCAAGAUUAGAUAGUUGGUGAGGUAACGGCUCACCAAGUCAAUGAUCUUUAGGGGGCCUGAGAGGGUGAUCCCCCACACUGGUACUGAGACACGGACCAGACUCCUACGGGAGGCAGCAGUGAGGAAUAUUGGACAAUGGGUGAGAGCCUGAUCCAGCCAUCCCGCGUGAAGGACGACGGCCCUAUGGGUUGUAAACUUCUUUUGUAUAGGGAUAAACCUUUCCACGUGUGGAAAGCUGAAGGUACUAUACGAAUAAGCACCGGCUAACUCCGUGCCAGCAGCCGCGGUAAUACGGAGGGUGCAAGCGUUAUCCGGAUUUAUUGGGUUUAAAGGGUCCGUAGGCGGACUCGUAAGUCAGUGGUGAAAUCUCAUAGCUUAACUAUGAAACUGCCAUUGAUACUGCGGGUCUUGAGUAAGGUAGAGGUAGCUGGAAUAAUAAUUGUAGCGGUGAAAUGCAUAGAUAUUACUUAGAACACCAAUUGCGAAGGCAGGUUACCAUGUCUUAACUGACGCUGAUGG